CCGCGGCGUUCGCGCGGCCGGCGUUGCCCGCUUCGCGGGCGGGCGGCGAACGGGCCGCGGGUUCGGACAUGCGCCGUCGCGCGC
RNAcentral lists this transfer RNA (84 nucleotides) under Burkholderia pseudomallei. RNAcentral describes it as "tRNA-Ala(cgc)". Lineage: Bacteria; Pseudomonadati; Pseudomonadota; Betaproteobacteria; Burkholderiales; Burkholderiaceae. The record is from RNAcentral.